UUCAAAAUUCACGGUUUGCCAUUUUCAUGCAACUUGAUUAUUUCAUGUCUUCAUUUCUAUUGAACAUAUCUCAUAAUACAAGAUUCAAAGGAAAUAAAUUAAACAAAAUAACAAUAAAACAAACCAAGCUUAAACAGUGCAUAGACAGAUUCAUAUUUUUAAACAAAGAAGCAUAUCCAUUGAUUAACGAGACCGACGAUAGGAGAUAAACUUGAAAACAAAAUGAUGAAGCUCGCACAGCAGAGAUAAUACAUCACGAAAAACCACAUAAUCUUCAAAGCAGCAGCAUAUAUGAGUCUAAGCCCGCACCGAAAAAGACCUCGACUAGAAUCGCACAAGUCCGAAAAGCCUCAGCAUUCGAGCAGUGAAUUUAUGACCUCCAAACCUCUUGGAAAUCCAGGUUUUUAGAGACCUUUUCUUGGUUUUUUGCGCGAUUUUUAGGCAGGUUGGAGUAAGUGGAAGAAGGAGCAACGAUGGUUGUCUUGUUGCUGUAUUUUUCGGAGAAUCUAGGGUUGCUGAUGGAAGGCUUAAUGGGCUUGUUAAUGGACGUGAGGACGACGCUGGAGUGAGUGUCGAUUGGUCGAGAGUGUUUCCGGAGAGGUUUUUUGCCUUGGAAUAGCUGGCCGGUUGGUGAGGGAGAUGGAGGUGACGCUGGUUUGAUGAGGGGGUCGCCGGCGGUGUAGGGUGCUGUGGAGAGGAGUUGGCGGGCAAUAGUCCAGGGGGUCAUUUGGCGACUGUUAUCUAGUGUUUUUUAGGGUUUUGGUUCUCUUCCCCUUUUGAAGAAGAAUAUCAGGUUUUUUUAUUUGGUUUUUUUUUUUUUGGAAAUUAAUAUU
RNAcentral lists this long non-coding RNA (833 nucleotides) under Nicotiana benthamiana. Its description in RNAcentral is "long non-coding RNA (NBEN_LNC018684)". The record is from RNAcentral. Lineage: Eukaryota; Viridiplantae; Streptophyta; Magnoliopsida; Solanales; Solanaceae.